This 568-nucleotide ribosomal RNA is filed under the name uncultured bacterium. RNAcentral describes it as "partial 16S ribosomal RNA". It matches the Rfam family "Bacterial small subunit ribosomal RNA", at positions 355 to 1375 of the family's 1533-position model. The record is from RNAcentral.
UGGGGAAUAUUGGCACAAUGGGCGCAAGCCUGAUGCAGCAACGCCGCGUGAGGGAUGACGGCCUUCGGGUUGUAAACCUCUUUUAGCAGGGAAGAAGCGAAAGUGACGGUACCUGCAGAAAAAGCGCCGGCUAACUACGUGCCAGCAGCCGCGGUAAUACGUAGGGCGCAAGCGUUAUCCGGAAUUAUUGGGCGUAAAGAGCUCGUAGGCGGUUUGUCGCGUCUGCUGUGAAAUCCCGAGGCUCAACCUCGGGUCUGCAGUGGGUACGGGCAGACUAGAGUGCGGUAGGGGAGAUUGGAAUUCCUGGUGUAGCGGUGGAAUGCGCAGAUAUCAGGAGGAACACCGAUGGCGAAGGCAGAUCUCUGGGCCGUAACUGACGCUGAGGAGCGAAAGGGUGGGGAGCAAACAGGCUUAGAUACCCUGGUAGUCCACCCCGUAAACGUUGGGAACUAGUUGUGGGGUCCAUUCCACGGAUUCCGUGACGCAGCUAACGCAUUAAGUUCCCCGCCUGGGGAGUACGGCCGCAAGGCUAAACUCAAAUGAAUUGACGGGGUCAUAGCUGUUUCCU